This 484-nucleotide ribosomal RNA is filed under the name uncultured bacterium. RNAcentral describes it as "partial 16S ribosomal RNA". It matches the Rfam family "Bacterial small subunit ribosomal RNA", at positions 30 to 507 of the family's 1533-position model. The record is from RNAcentral.
AUUGAACGCUGGCGGCAGGCCUAACACAUGCAAGUCGAGCGGAUGAAGGGAGCUUGCUCCUGGAUUCAGCGGCGGACGGGUGAGUAAUGCCUAGGAAUCUGCCUGGUCUUGGGGGAUAACGUCCGGAAACGGGCGCUAAUACCGCAUACGUCCUGAGGGAGAAAGUGGGGGAUCUUCGGACCUCACGCUAUCUGAUGAGCCUAGGUCGGAUUAGCUAGUUGGUGGGGUAAAGGCCUACCAAGGCGACGAUCCGUAACUGGUCUGAGAGGAUGAUCAGUCACACUGGAACUGAGACACGGUCCAGACUCCUACGGGAGGCAGCAGUGGGGAAUAUUGGACAAUGGGCGAAAGCCUGAUCCAGCCAUGCCGCGUGUGUGAAGAAGGUCUUCGGAUUGUAAAGCACUUUAAGUUGGGAGGAAGGGCAGUAAGUUAAUACCUUGCUGUUUUGACGGUACCAACAGAAUAAGCACCGGCUAACUUCGUG